GUUUAAAUAGUUUAAUUAAAAUAUUGAUUUGUGGUGUCAAUGAUGAAAAUUGUUUUCUUUAAACC
Molecule: transfer RNA, 65 nt
Filed under: Sarcophaga depressifrons
Lineage: Eukaryota; Metazoa; Arthropoda; Insecta; Diptera; Sarcophagidae
Description: tRNA-His
Source: RNAcentral